UGUGUGUGUGUGUGUGUGUGUGUGUCAGGGCUACUUAUGGUGGUGAUUUGUGUGUUAUUGUUUUAUUUGGCUGGUGGUCGUCUAGAAAUACCAGUCCAGUCUUCAACAGAACCAACCCAAACCACAACACACACUAUAAACAGACAGACUCUCUGUGGACUGACAGACAGCCACCAUUGAUAGACAGACAGAUGGGCACCGUGGAGAGACAACCUGGGGAAGAAUGUGGUGUCUUUGAGUCCACCAUGUGCAAGGAGAAGACUGAGAAUGCUGUGGAGGCUCAGCCGGACUACUCUCCGCUGUCGUGGAGGGGGUACUUUGACCAGAUGGAGGAUGUGGUGGUGGGAGCGGCGGACAGCAGUGACUCCUUCAGGGUGUACAAGGCCGGCACCGGGGGUCCCGUGCUGGUCCUGCUGCAUGGAGGGGGGCACUCUGCCCUGUCCUGGGCUGUCUGCACCACCGCCAUAAGCAGCAGGGUGAGCUGCAGGGUGUUGGCCAUGGACCUGCGGGGUCACGGUGCCACCCAAGUUCAAUGUGAUGACUUCUCAACUCAAACUAUGUCCAGGGAUGUGGCAAAUGUUGUGCAAGCUUGCUAUGGGGAGACUCCGCCCCCAAUGGUGCUGAUUGGGCACGGGGUGGGCGGGGCCAUCGCGGUCCACGCAGCCAGUAGCAUGCUGCUGCCCACCAUCGUAGGCCUGGUCGCCAUUGACGUCGUGGAGGGUAGUGCAAUGGAGGUGCUACACAGCAUGCAGAACUUCCUGAGGGGCCGACCAAAGUCCUUCAAGUCCAUGGUACAUGCCAUUGAAUGGAGCGUGAAGAGCGGUCAGAUCCAGAACCUGGAGUCUGCCAGAGUCUCAGUGGUUGGACAGAUCAAAAAGUGUGAGGUGGACAAAGAUGUUCUGCUGGAGCCAGCCAGUCUGGUGGUAGAUGUGGCUGUCGAGGGCAACGAGGAAUUCCAUGAACAGCACCAACUCAACGAUAAAGAGAAUACCACACCAGAGAGGAGCAUCUCAGACAACCAGAGUGUGUAUAACUGGCGCAUAGAUCUCUCCAAGGCUGAGAAGUACUGGGAUGGCUGGUUCAGAGGGACCUCCAACCUCUUCCUGAGCUGCAACCUGCCCAAACUGCUGUUACUGGCUGGGGUGGAUCGUCUUGACAGAGAUUUGACCAUCGCACAAAUGCAAGGUAAAUUCAUGAUGCAGCUGCUGCCCCCUUGUGGCCAUGCAGUGCAAGAAGACCACCCCGACAAGGUUGCUGAUGCUAUAACCAGUUUUCUUUUGAGACAUAAGUUUGCAGAGUCCAGAGAAGAUAACCAGAGGUCAGGGACAUGCAAAACACACACACUCACACACUAUCUCCUCUAUGACACUAACAGUUCAUGAUGCUUGCUAAGCUGGAUUGAACUCUGAUCUGUCUCCCUCUCUAGCUCUCCAUUGCCCUUUACACAGUGAAGACUGAAAUACUAUCCUCUAGACCAGAGGGCUGCCCUCAAGUGCUUCUCAACUAUACUUAACCUAGAAGACGUUUCCCUAGAAGAAGAGCAGAAGUUUGUGGUUCCAUUUUAUUCAUUUCGUGGAAAUCAACUUCACUGGGCUGAAAUGUCCUGCGUUCAAGACAAUCUGUGUCCCUGUAUUAAGAUGUGGCUUUGAAUCGCUUUGAUUAAACCAGUCUCACCUCUU
Molecule: RNA transcript, 1679 nt
Organism: Gadus morhua (Atlantic cod)
Lineage: Eukaryota; Metazoa; Chordata; Actinopteri; Gadiformes; Gadidae
Gene name: protein phosphatase methylesterase 1
Exons: 13
Source: RefSeq, a predicted model, not a curated record